GGGGAUUUGGUUAUACAUUGAGUUUUUUCCACGCAACUGAUGGCUCGAUUGCCAGAGGGCGACUGGUGAAGGAGAUAUAGACAUUUUAAGGAUAUCAAAUAUAUCCUUUAUGUGAUCUACGGGAACAGACUAAAACAACUUUUUGUAAACCGUGUAGCCUAUAUUUAGGUAGCGUAGCUUAUGCUACCUGUAUUGCAUUAAGCGGUCAAAUUUAGCUCGUUUCCUUGUGGGAUUCAAAUGGAUAAAACUGUAUGUCUCUAAUAUGUUCAGAAGAACAGCAAUCAUAUUCUGAUUUUUACCAUAACCAAAUCAAAUUACAGCCUAUUUUAAUUAAAACCCAAACACUACAUUUGAUUUGGCGGUAUAAAUUGGGAGGCCAUGAAGGAGGGCGACGCGAUUGACACUGCACCCAGACUGCGCAUGCAAGACGACUCACGCCCGCGCUCCGGGAUCCUAACCACACACAGGCGCACAUUUGGGUUGUUUGCCCUACUUUCCGCACAGCUGCAUUUAGGCGUGACGUCUGCACAGAUGUGCGCCUACACACUCCAAGGAGGAAAGGCAGCCUCUGAUCAGAUUCAGAAGCAAUAACAGACAGUCACGCGCUUAGAUUUAUUUAUCUGUUUUUUUUAUUUUUCUCUCCAUUUUUUCUUUUGUUAUUCCUCCCUUUUUCCUUUAAAUACGGGUACAUUAAACUGUGAUUUAUGUGAAGACCUUUAUUCAUAUUCUACAAUGUUGUUGUCUCUCACGUCCUCUUUUUCUUGGCAACAUUCAGAUGUUAUCUGUUGGAGGGAAACGUCAAGUUGGCCCCUAGAUUAGACUCUGUCCGGUGAGUGAGUCGCUUCCAUAUCCAUGCCUGAUGAGGAGUCAACCCUUUUUUGACACAUUUUUCAAUGAUGCAGAACUUGAUGCAAUCAGGCUCAUGCUCCAUCACUCUAGCUUUGCAAAGGAAGACUUUAAUGAUAGGCGGUAUUUACCAUGGAAGCACUUAUAUUCAGAACGUAAGGUCCAGCUAAUUAUCGUCGUCUCUUCUAUCUUCAACGUCUUAGUAAAAAGUCGUUUCGAUGAUGAAACAGCUUCGGAAGUGUGAGGGCACACAACAUAGAUCAGCAGUGACACCUUGUGGCGAUGUAAAGUACUCCAAGCGUGGACCUCUCCACCAUUAUGUCAGCUUGAACCCAAAUACGCAACGACUGAGCCUUCUGCUGUAGAACUACCCUAUAAUGUUUGGUUUACACAGUUUUAAUCUAACCAGG
Molecule: long non-coding RNA, 1256 nt
Organism: Clupea harengus (Atlantic herring)
Lineage: Eukaryota; Metazoa; Chordata; Actinopteri; Clupeiformes; Clupeidae
Source: Ensembl